Pseudophryne corroboree (corroboree frog) is the source of this 1275-nucleotide long non-coding RNA. RefSeq lists it as uncharacterized. NCBI's taxonomy places the organism in Eukaryota, Metazoa, Chordata, Amphibia, Anura, Myobatrachidae. The record is from RefSeq and is a predicted model, not a curated record. The transcript has 3 exons.
AGCGCCUGCGCAUUGCCACCAGCGCGCAUGCGCAGUUUUGACCCCUUUGCACGGCUGCGGAAAACUGCAGCGUGCCAAAGGGUCGGAAUGACCCCCUUGGCCCUACCCAGAUUUCUUGGGUGUUCUCAGUAUUAUGGUGCGUUACAAGGUGCCAGUGUGUUGAUCUUGUCGGUGAAUUUGACCCAUGUGAUUAUAGUGAGGACCGGUCAGCAUGUGGAAGGGAUGGGGGACGGGAGUCAGUGCAGUGUCACCCAGCAGCAUCAAAUAAUGAUGCCAUUCCUCCAUAUUGAUCUGAGGGGUCUCUCCCACUUCUCUGACCUUGUUGUGAUGGUUGAAAUGUUGACAAGGUGAUUCUGACUAGAUGUGCAUUGUAUCACUGGGUGAUUCCCUUUAUAAGGCAUCUCUGAUCUGGAAACCCAUUAUCCGUGUAUUUCAGAAAACAUGAAAGGAAUGAAAAUAAAUUAUUGCUGAAGGAAAGUGGGCGAUGAUCCCAGCAUGCACCAAGUGCCGGAGAUACAUACUACAGAUACAGGGAAGCAACAUUAUAAAUCAGAGACAUACAAUACACAAGAUGCAUGACUGUAUGGAGACAAGGCAGGUGCACAGUACACUGUAUAGCGACAGUAUGUGGUGGCAAUAUGGUGACAAAACGCUUGAACAGAGCUACAAUUGUUCCAUGUGUUCUCCACUGUGGUCAACAACAGUUUCCAUUUGAAGAACAGCAUUCUCUAUAGCAGACUGUAACAAGGUGGACAAGCCAGCACAUGACAUCUAGUGCUGUCGUUCAGCCUAACAAGUUUUUCCUUCAGGGAUUAACACAAAGAUACUUUGGGCUACAAACUCGUGAGCAAGCCACGUAAAGCUGCCCAUGGGAGAAGCAACUGGUCCUGAGAUCUACACCUGCAUCCCUGAGCGUUUGUCCCUGCGACUUGCUGAUCGUCAUAGGGAAGCAGACACUUACAAGGAAACUACAGGCACUUGAACUGAAAAGGAAAAUUGUUGGGGAUAAAGAGUAUACGUGGUAUAAACACAGUCUCACCUGCACCCCAUCCAUUUACAAUCUCUGCCUCAAUUAGGUUCCUCUGCAGAGCAGCCACGUAAGUCAGGUUACAUUGCAUAACUUGGGCGGAGUGAAGUUCGGAAGAUGCAUGAUCAGACCACCAACUUCUAGUGCAUAGAGCGUCUGUUUUGUUACUUUAUUGUUCCUCUCCCUGUUGUCACAUCGAGAUCAUACAUACCUCAGUUUCUUUCUAGGUCAAUAAACUAUACAAUAGC